AUUGAACGCUGGCGGCAUGCCUUACACAUGCAAGUCGAACGGCAGCACGGGAGCAAUCCUGGUGGCGAGUGGCGAACGGGUGAGUAAUACAUCGGAACGUGCCCAAUCGUGGGGGAUAACGUAGCGAAAGCUACGCUAAUACCGCAUACGAUCUACGGAUGAAAGCGGGGGAUCGCAAGACCUCGCGCGAAUGGAGCGGCCGAUGGCAGAUUAGGUAGGUAGUGAGGUAAAGGCUCACCAAGCCUGCGAUCUGUUGCUGGUCUGAGAGGACGAGCAGCCACACUGGGACUGAGACACGGCCCAGACUCCUACGGGAGGCAGCAGUGGGGAAUUUUGGACAAUGGGCGCAAGCCUGAUCCAGCAAUGCCGCGUGCAGGAUGAAGGCCUUCGGGUUGUAAACUGCUUUUGUACGGAACGAAACGGUCCUUUCUAAUACAAGGGGCUAAUGACGGUACCGUAAGAAUAAGCACCGGCUAACUACGUGCCAGCAGCCGCAGUAA
RNAcentral lists this ribosomal RNA (500 nucleotides) under uncultured bacterium. Its description in RNAcentral is "partial 16S ribosomal RNA". It matches the Rfam family "Bacterial small subunit ribosomal RNA", at positions 30 to 523 of the family's 1533-position model. The record is from RNAcentral.